Non-coding RNA from Schizosaccharomyces pombe (fission yeast), 534 nucleotides. The record is from the annotation of a GenBank genome assembly. NCBI's taxonomy places the organism in Eukaryota, Fungi, Ascomycota, Schizosaccharomycetes, Schizosaccharomycetales, Schizosaccharomycetaceae.
UAGGAAAACAGAAAAGAAGAAAUGAGUAAUACGUAAAUUACCAUUCGUCGUAACAUUCAGAUAUCUUACAUACCUAUGGCAAGAAGAUUUGAACAGGAAGGAGACUGGGAACACCAAGUCGUUGUAUACGGGCGGACAUUAAGAGGCAAUCUAAUAAACAGAAGUUAGAAAGAGACAUAAACGAAAUAACGCUGAACGUACUGAUACUGGUUAGAGGAAAGAGUCAUGACGAAAAAUAGUUUUCAAAAAAAACGGAAAGAAUGAACGCUUUAUUGUGCAGACAAUAAAAAGAUAAAGAAAUUAAAAAUGCAUUUAUAUAUACAAAUGGAAAAAGAGAAGUUUCGGCCACGUUUUCUAGUGAUAUGGUGUUGCAGGUAACUAGUGGGUUACGUGAAUUGGAUGAAGCUGAAGAAAACGUUCUACCUUACGGAGCCAAAACUACCACCAUUAAUUUACAAAAAAUCAAACGAAAACCUAUACAAAGCAGUUUAGAUAAUGAAACACGAUAAAUAUAACCAUUUUAAUGCAAUUACU